UUGGCUUCCAGGCAGCUAAGGAGAAGAAAUGGCGAGUUUGAGGUUUUCCGUGUCUCAUUUUGGUGAUCACCUCCACUUUGGAGUUCCGAAUCUCGAGUCGUAAUCCAAAAGGAGCUAACCGACGGGCUCGUGGGGGCCGAGGCAGGGAAGACGAUGGAUGGUGUUCGCGACAGGGACGAUGCGAGGAAUUAAGACAGCACAAGGCGUGUAGGAGUCGAAGCGGCCAAGCCCCUGAGAAACAGACCCUUCUCUAACAUCACUCCAGGGAUAUCGGCUGAAGCUUUGCGUUCAAUGGUAGCUGAAGAAUAGUGCAUGUUCGAGAUCUUUAUGGCAACCCUUGUACCAACCAACCAGUUUUUUUUUUUCCCUUUUUCUUUUCUUUUCUUUUCUUUUUN
Molecule: long non-coding RNA, 395 nt
Filed under: Elaeis guineensis (African oil palm)
Lineage: Eukaryota; Viridiplantae; Streptophyta; Magnoliopsida; Arecales; Arecaceae
Description: long non-coding RNA (EGUI_LNC000754)
Source: RNAcentral